UGGCGGUGAUGACGAUAUCUUAUACCAUCAAACUAUGAAAGCUCUCUGGAGCUUGUUGAUGUCAAAGUUUUAUUCGCUGAGCCU
Molecule: small nucleolar RNA, 84 nt
Organism: Carya illinoinensis
Lineage: Eukaryota; Viridiplantae; Streptophyta; Magnoliopsida; Fagales; Juglandaceae
Product: small nucleolar RNA snoR116
Exons: 1
Source: RefSeq, a predicted model, not a curated record